Molecule: ribosomal RNA, 476 nt
Filed under: uncultured bacterium
Lineage: Bacteria
Description: partial 16S ribosomal RNA
Rfam family: Bacterial small subunit ribosomal RNA
Source: RNAcentral
AUGAACGCUGGCGGCGUGCCUAACACAUGCAAGUCGAACGAAGCACCUUACCUGAUUCUUCGGAUGAAAGUUUGGUGACUGAGUGGCGGACGGGUGAGUAACGCGUGGGUAACCUGCCCUGCACAGGGGGAUAACAGCUGGAAACGGCUGCUAAUACCGCAUAAGCGCACGAGGAGACAUCUCCUUGUGUGAAAAACUCCGGUGGUACAGGAUGGGCCCGCGUCUGAUUAGCUGGUUGGCAGGGUAACGGCCUACCAAGGCAACGAUCAGUAGCCGGUCUGAGAGGAUGAACGGCCACAUUGGAACUGAGACACGGUCCAAACUCCUACGGGAGGCAGCAGUGGGGAAUAUUGCACAAUGGGGGAAACCCUGAUGCAGCAACGCCGCGUGAGUGAAGAAGUAUUUCGGUAUGUAAAGCUCUAUCAGCAGGGAAGAUAAUGACGGUACCUGACUAAGAAGCUCCGGCUAAAUACGUG